RNAcentral lists this ribosomal RNA (253 nucleotides) under uncultured bacterium. Its description in RNAcentral is "partial 16S ribosomal RNA". It matches the Rfam family "Bacterial small subunit ribosomal RNA", at positions 524 to 776 of the family's 1533-position model. The record is from RNAcentral.
UACGGAGGGUGCGAGCGUUGUCCGGAAUCACUGGGCGUAAAGGGCGCGUAGGUGGCGCGGGCAGUCAACGGUGAAAGUUCGGGGCUCAACCCUGAAUCGGCCGUCGAUACUCCCGGGCUUGAGCACUGUAGAGGCAGAUGGAAUUCCGGGUGUAGCGGUGGAAUGCGUAGAGAUCGGAAAGAACACCAACGGCGAAAGCACUCUGCUGGGCCGACACUGACACUGAGAGACGAAAGCUAGGGGAGCGAAUGGG